AACGUAGGAGACAACCGUUAUCCGGAGUUACUGGGCGUAAAGGGCGUGUAGGUGGUUUCGUAAGUCUGGCGUGAAAUUUUUCGGCUUAACCGGGAAAGGUCGUCGGAUACUGCGGAACUAGAGGACGGUAGAGGCGUGUGGAAUUCCGGGUGUAGUGGUGAAAUGCGUAGAGAUCCGGAGGAACACCAGUGGCGAAGGCGACACGCUGGGCCGUACCUGACACUGAUGCGCGACAGCAUGGGGAGCAAACAGG
This 253-nucleotide ribosomal RNA is filed under the name uncultured bacterium. RNAcentral's name for it is "partial 16S ribosomal RNA". It matches the Rfam family "Bacterial small subunit ribosomal RNA", at positions 524 to 776 of the family's 1533-position model. The record is from RNAcentral.